AUCAAUAUGGCUGCAGUGACAAUUCAAGAACCUUAAGCGCGCAAAUUAUAAUCUGCCGUUCACUGGUCUGUUAAUGUGUCCGCUCACGAUUUCUAGCGAGUCUGUUGAGUAUUUCCGUGUCACCCGCGAAUUACUUCGCGACUUAAUUAUCAAGAGUGCCCGAUGUUGACAGUAAUUAAAAAAAGAAAAAGAAUGUUUUUCGAUGUGGAGCAACCUUUUCGCUGCAAACCGCGACUUUCGUCUCAUCUAAAAUAUUUAAUAUUCGAGAGCUAUUCGAGCUUUUUAAAGCUCUUGUGGCGGUUACGAGCUUCGUGCUGCUCGUUUUUGCAUAAAUAUUUACGCCGGACCUAUUUCGAGCAUCGCGAAAAGAACUCGACUUCUUUCAAUAAAGCCCCGUGUGCUGUCGCGAGAUAAGCGUAAUCGGUUAAAUGCGCGUCCGCCAGUCGCAGAUAAAGCCCGAAAAAGAGACAUUUCGUUUACGGCUUUCCAAGAGUAAUACCGGGAGUGUGACUUCGCGCUUUCGUAAUUUAGCGAGCGACCUUGCUUGCUCUCAGGAAAACAAACGAAAGAAAAGUAUAUCGGCUGCGGGAAUUAAUGCGCGGGCUGAAAGAUAGCGGAAUAAUCCGCUGAAAACAAAAAAGGUGAAAACAAAAAAGGUGAAAACAAAAAAGGUGAAAACAAAAAAGGUAAAUGAUAAAUUGUAUGUCACGUUAACAUGAUUUGCAAUAAAAUUAUACUAGUGGAUAUUAUUAUCGCGUCAACAAAACGAGGCUGAAAAAUAAAGCACUAAGGACGCAAGAUUGAUAACAAAGGCACGAGCGGAUUUCGACGGGAAUUUAAUUUGGAAUUUAAUUACAAGGAUAUUUAAUUUCAGUUAUCUCCGGCAGCAACGAGCGAGACAUACCUACGUGCAAUACACGCGGAAUGCGAACGCUGUUAAUUUUUACGCCCGUUUACUCGCGAGCUUAAAUUUAUGAAACAAUUAUACACCACGUUAAUCAUUGCGGUUACGUAGGUUAAAGAAAAGGAUUAACUAAUUGAAUGUAUACCAAAAUUACAUUUCUCAGCUAAUGGCGUAGAUGAGAAGUUUGGUAUGAUAAGGACAGUUAAAAAGUAAACAGAUCUUCUCGAUAUCGAUGUAUAUCCGCGUGUUCAAAAACAAUAGAAUUUCAACGACAAUGUGGAAUCAAUUUCUUCUCGAAAACAUAGAGACAUCGUUUUCGAGCUAAAGCUGUACUUAAAAGAAUGUAAGAGUUUGGAAAAAUCGUAAUAGCCAAUAUUAUAUAAGAAGACCAAUAAGAGAUUAGUAUAGUAGUUUUCUCCGUACAGAUAAGUAUCCGAGUAAUGAGUAAAAUGGUAUGGAAAAUAUAAACGUUAUGUAAUAUGGCCAUUAUCUACACAUGUGUCUAUAAAAGUGACAUUUUAAAUUUCGUAUAUGUAUAUAACAUAUGUAAAUAUUAUUGAAAAUUCAACUAAUCAAAUGUAACAGUCAUCUCAUGCAUAUGACAUGAAUUCUGUAUAUUUUUUUAGGCUCAUGUACUUCGUAUAGUUUAGUUGUUUAGUUUUUAGUAUAAAUGCUGUGUGUAAUGCUCUUUUUGCUGAUUCAGAUAGAGGCAUUAGUACUCAGUCACUUUAAGAGAAUAUGUACUUUCUAUGAGAGGAUCGGUUGCAAAAUUCCAAGAGGAAUUGUUUUGAAAAAUGCGCAGAACACUUCGAGACAUUCGCACAUGUCUCACAUGUUUCUACUCGAGACUUGAAAGAAUGACUCGGAUGAUCGAUACUGCACAAGGAAGCAGCUUACCUUGGAA
Odontomachus brunneus is the source of this 1808-nucleotide long non-coding RNA. RefSeq lists it as uncharacterized. The transcript has 4 exons. The record is from RefSeq and is a predicted model, not a curated record. NCBI's taxonomy places the organism in Eukaryota, Metazoa, Arthropoda, Insecta, Hymenoptera, Formicidae.